GAGGUUAAGCGACUAAGCGUACACGGUGGAUGCCCUGGCAGUCAGAGGCGAUGAAGGACGUGCUAAUCUGCGAUAAGCGCCGGUAAGGUGAUAUGAACCGUUAUAACCGGCGAUUUCCGAAUGGGGAAACCCAGUGUGACUCGUCACACUAUCAUUAACUGAAUCCAUAGGUUAAUGAGGCGAACCGGGGGAACUGAAACAUCUAAGUACCCCGAGGAAAAGAAAUCAACCGAGAUUCCCCCAGUAGCGGCGAGCGAACGGGGAGGAGCCCAGAGCCUGAAUCAGCAUGUGUGUUAGUGGAAGCGUCUGGAAAGGCGCGCGAUACAGGGUGACAGCCCCGUACACAAAAGCGCAUGUGCUGUGAGCUCGAUGAGUAGGGCGGGACACGUGGUAUCCUGUCUGAAUAUGGGGGGACCAUCCUCCAAGGCUAAAUACUCCUGACUGACCGAUAGUGAACCAGUACCGUGAGGGAAAGGCGAAAAGAACCCCGGCGAGGGGAGUGAAAAAGAACCUGAAACCGUGUACGUACAAGCAGUGGGAGCACCCUUUGGGGUGUGACUGCGUACCUUUUGUAUAAUGGGUCAGCGACUUAUAUUCUG
RNAcentral lists this ribosomal RNA (599 nucleotides) under Salmonella enterica. RNAcentral's name for it is "bacterial LSU rRNA". It matches the Rfam family "Bacterial large subunit ribosomal RNA", at positions 1 to 637 of the family's 2925-position model. Lineage: Bacteria; Pseudomonadati; Pseudomonadota; Gammaproteobacteria; Enterobacterales; Enterobacteriaceae. The record is from RNAcentral.